Molecule: long non-coding RNA, 3196 nt
Filed under: Nicotiana tabacum (common tobacco)
Lineage: Eukaryota; Viridiplantae; Streptophyta; Magnoliopsida; Solanales; Solanaceae
Description: long non-coding RNA (NTAB_LNC001842)
Source: RNAcentral
UAACAUCUUGAUUUGGAGGAUUAUUGGGAUGAUCAGAAUGUUCAACUGAAUUGGUAAUCUGCAAAUCAGGAACUUCAAGAUUCACUUUAAGUGUUUUUGAAGCAGGAAAAAUUGAUUUAUGAGGCUUUGAAAUGUUCAUUGAAGCAAAGGGAUAGAUGUUCUCAUGAAAUAUCACAUCCCUAGAAACAAAAGUCUUCCUUGUGUCAAGAUUAAGGACUUUAUACCCUUUCUUACCAUGUGGAUAUCCUAAGAAAAGACAAGGUAAGGCCCUUGGAUCAAAUUUUGACCUGUGAGAUGAAAGAGUAGAAACAAAACACAAACAUCCAAAACAAUUAAGUCCUGAGUAGUUAGGCUUAGUUUUAAAUAAGAUCUCAUAAGGUAUCUUAAGCUUUAAGACCUUUGAAUGGAACCUGUUAAUUAAAUGUGUUGAAGUCAACACACAAUCUCCCCAAAACUGAAUAGGUAGAUGUGAUUGAUAGAGCAAAGCCCUAGAAGUCUCUAGAAGAUGCUUAUGUUUGCACUCCACAAUUCCAUUUUGUUGAGGAGUUCCAACACAAGUUGUCUGAUGCAAAAUUCCUUGUUUUGAAAAAAAAUCUGCAUGUGCAGUCCCUGUUCCAAGCUCAAAUCAUUAUCUGAACGUAUGAUUUUGACUAUGUUGUGAAACUGUCUCUCUAUCAUAGCUAAAAAAGAUUGCAAUACUGGAAAUACAUUUGAUUUUGUGCUAAAAAGAUAUGUCCAAGUACCCCUACGAUAGUCAUCAACUAUGGUUAGAAAGUACUUAAAUCCAUCAUAAGUGGUUGUGUUGUAAGGACCCCAUGUAUCUAUGUGAAUUAAAUCAAACAUAGCUGUAGAAGUAGUUAAACUAGUGGGAAAGGGUAAUUUCGACUGUCUAGCCAUAUGACAUAUCACACAAGGCACAAAAAAAUUAUCACAUGAAGAAUUAGGAAUAGAUGAAAUAUUCUUCAUAUUACUCAAAGGCAUAUGUCCUAAACGACAGUGCCACAACUUGUUCUUUACAUUAGAAUUACUAGAGAAGGAAAAUAAAACUGAAGGAACUUUUUGAUUACAUAGAUUUUUUCCUAACAUAGACAAACUACUAGAUAAAGAUGACUUCUUGGAAAUGAGUUCCAAUUGCCUUGAUUCCAGAACAUAAAGACCACAAUUCUCCCUACCAAUCACCAGAGGCUUUUUCAUUGGAGGGGCCUGCAAAAAACAGAAAAGAGAAGUGAAUAAUAUGAGAUAGUUAUUCUGUUUGCACAAUUUAUGAACUGACAAAAAAUUGAAUCUAAAAGCAGGGACAUACAACACAUUGUGAAGAAUCAGGUUUGGAAAAAGUGAAACUGAACCUGAAUGUGUGACUCUGACCUUAUGAGAAUUUGGUAAAUUUACACUUAAAUAUUUAGGUAAAUGAGUUAUAUUAUAAAGAGCAGUUUCAUCAAAAGUCAUAUGUUCAGAUGCACCACUAUCUAAUAUCCAUGUCUCACUGUUGUUAUGUGCAAAACAAGUAGUGCAAUUAUGUGAGAAAGAUAUACUAACACAAUUAACAUCUGCAUUGUUUUCAGAGCUGUUGGUUCCCUGUUUUCCCAUCUGCACUUGGUGAAAGAGUUGUAGGAUCUGCCUGGUAUUUUCUUGAGUAAGUGACUUAAUUCCUGCAGUCUCUACUGCAUUUUCUUCAGUGCUGAAAGCAUUGUUACCUUGAAUUGACCCUUGGUAUUUUCUUUGAUUUGUGAACUUGAAAUCUGAGGGAAAUCCAACAAGCCUGUAGCAUUGUUCGACAACACGACCUGGCUUCUUGCACUAUGAACAGGUAGAGUUGUUUUUCUUUCCCUCAUACCCAUGUUUUUCUCAAAAUCCCUCACAUUGUUUCUCUUACCAACUGUCCCAUGUUGUGCAUCAAUAAAGGAGGCUGGUUCUCCGGGAUAAACAGGAGAAGCAUAUAUUUCUCUUUGCUUUUCAUCCUGGAUAACCAUAGAGUAAGCUUGGCCAAGAGAAGGCAAAGGGAAGUCAACAGUAUGUUGCUUCUUACACAUAUGUAGGUGUCAUUCAGGCCCAUUAAAAAUUGCAGCAGUCUCUGGUCUUGGUGCGUUUUCAGAUUUUUCCGUUAGCUCAACAUACACAUUCACAUGAACAAGUAGAAAAAUUGAUCAAGGUAUUUAGUUCAUGCUUAUCUUAGCCUGGGCCUUAGAUUCUGGUUACUGUUAUUGCAUGUCAUUCAUCUUUUCGUUUUUAUGCUUCUGUUACUAUUACGGUUUCUAGUGGAGUUACUAAUGAAUUCUCUUUUCUUGUUUUUUAUUUUAUUUUUGUAGGGUCUAUCGGAAACAACCUCUCUGCCCCUAUCGGGGCAGGGGUAAGGUCUGCGUACACAUUACCCUCCCCAGACCCCAAUAUGUGGUAUUUUACUGGGUAGUAGUAGUAGUUGUUGUUGUUGUAUUUAGUUCAUCCCACAAACUUUUCAUUUUUGUGAAAUAACUUGAAACACUAAAGUUACCUUGAACCACAACGCUUAGUUCUUUCUGUAGUUGAAAAAGUGUAGCCCCAUUUGUCUGACCAAAUCUAUCUUCUAAUUCAUUCCACAGAUCUUUUACAUUGUGAGAGUAAAGAACACUUUCUGCAAUUUCUUUUGACAGAGAGUUAAGGAGCCAAGACAACACCAUGUCAUUUCCUCUAGCCCAAGCGCUUUGAAGACCAGAGUUUUCAUCUAGAAUGAAAAGAGUUCCAUCUAUGAAACCUAGUUUAUUCUUGGUAGAAAGAGCUAUGACUACUGCUCUACGCCAAGCUCCAUAGCUUUUGCCAUCAAAAGCUGAGGAAACAAGGUUCAUGCCUGGGUAGUCUGAAGGAUGAAGAAAGAAAGGGUGUGAUGAAUCAAUGACACCUUUCUUGGUUGAAUCAGUUGUUGCUGCAACUACAGCUUCUGUUGUGUCUCCCAUUGUAAGGAAGAGAGCAAAAUUGAAAGAUGAAUAAGGGUUUCAAAUAUCAGGUUGUUCGACCUGCUCUGAUACCAUGUAGAAACAGAGAAAAUUUGAACCCAAUAUGAAUUGGUGUAUGUUGUAUUAAAUCGAAAUAUUAUGUACAAUGUAGCUAAUUUAUACAAUUUACUCUAUGUACUACUCCUAUAUGUGUCCAUGUAUAAUUUGCAUUUCUCUAACAGAUUUUGUCAUACUGUGCAUAAAAAAUAUAUACAAGGAAAUAUCAAAUA